This 256-nucleotide ribosomal RNA is filed under the name uncultured bacterium. Its description in RNAcentral is "partial 16S ribosomal RNA". It matches the Rfam family "Bacterial small subunit ribosomal RNA", at positions 524 to 777 of the family's 1533-position model. The record is from RNAcentral.
UACAGAGGUCUCAAGCGUUGUUCGGAUUCAUUGGGCGUAAAGGGUGCGUAGGUGGCGCCGUAAGUCGGGUGUGAAAUUUCGGAGCUUAACUCCGAAACUGCAUUCGAUACUGCGGUGCUUUGAGGACUGGAGAGGAGACUGGAAUUCAUGGUGUAGCAGUGAAAUGCGUAGAGAUCAUGAGGAAGACCAGUGGCGAAGGCGGGGUCUCUGGACAGUUCCUGACACUGAGGCACGAAGGCCAGGGGAGCAAACGGGG